AUUCCAGCUCCAAUAGCGUAUAUUAAAGUUGUUGCAGUUAAAAAGCUCGUAGUUGAAUUUUUGCUUGCCCCCGAUGUCCGUUAUUUCGGUACGUUCGGGGGCGUGCAUCCUUGGGUGGAACCUGUGUGGCAUUAGGUUGUCGUGCAGGGGAUGCUCAUCGUUUACUGUGAAAAAAUUAGAGUGUUCAAAGCAGGCUUACGCCGUUGAAUAUAUUAGCAUGGAAUAAUAAGAUAGGACCUUGGUACUAUUUUGUUGGUUUGCGCACCGAGGUAAUGAUUAACAGGGACAGUUGGGGGUAUUCGUAUUCCAUUGUCAGAGGUGAAAUUCUUGGAUUAACGGAAGAUGAACUUCUGCGAAAGCAUCUGCCAAGGAUGUUUUCAUCG
RNAcentral lists this ribosomal RNA (383 nucleotides) under Surirella sp. Its description in RNAcentral is "partial small subunit ribosomal RNA". It matches the Rfam family "Eukaryotic small subunit ribosomal RNA", at positions 582 to 975 of the family's 1831-position model. Lineage: Eukaryota; Bacillariophyta; Bacillariophyceae; Surirellales; Surirellaceae. The record is from RNAcentral.